CAACAAACAUUAUCUAUCAUAAGAGACAGAGAUUUGGAAUGAAGUCUAGAUGUUUCUGCAGAUUUAAGUGUAUAUGAGAAGGUUUGGAGUCCACAGAUUGGAAACCAAAGCUCUGGAUUCUGUUCUUGCGUUCUUGUUCUGCAUAGAAAGAGAAAAUGAUCGCUCCAUAUCCUUCAUAUGUAAAUCUUCAAUGCAAUCACGGCACCAGUCCCUCUUAGGGCUCGGACUCCCGUUGGCAGGCUGAUGAAACGAAGGGUUGUUGUUCUCCCUACUUCCUCCAUCCAGUCUUGGGAUCAGCUAAAAAAAAAAGGACACUGACAGAAAAAAUGGACAAAAACAUGAACACGCAAGUCACAAAAGAAGUACAAAUGACCUAUAAAUAUAUGCAACAUGCUCAGAUUCAUUGAUGAGAGAGAUAACUUGGCAACAGUGGGAUAAAAAAUUUUGCCUUUCUUUAAGAAGAGACCUUUAAAGACAAACACCGACCCAUCAGAAGAGCUCAGCUCCACUUCUGUCUCACUCCUUGCUGUUUGCCUCUCAACUGUGAAAUGGGGAUGGUGUUAUUGGCUAACCUAUUGAGUUACGGCAAAGAAUGAGAAAAUAAGUUUCCCUGUAUAACAUCAUCAGCCAGAGGCAAGACCAAAUACUCAAACUCUGCCAGACCCCAGAAUUCAGAUGUCAAAGAAGUUCGACAUGUCAUCACAAGGACAAGAAGAUGAUAACAAGUUUCUGUGCAAAUUCAGAGCAGAGAGCGUGUUUCAAGACUGUCUACCCAGGACCGUUUCAGGCAGUGGAGGACUCAUGCAUAUUUUCAUGCCUGCAUCAUUCCAUCACCGGACAAGGCCAAUGAGCCCUCCUGAGCACCAGGUGCCAUGUGCAGAACACUCACCCUGUGGGUCCUCCCAGCCUUUUGAAGCCACCUGCCCCCAAGAGAUUCAGGCUCAGUAAGCGAGGCCCACUGCAUGGAAUCGAACCGGAUAAAUACCACAAUAAAAGCUGUUCAUUUUAACAAAGAUUUCAAAAAGAAAGAAUUAAAC
Long non-coding RNA from Equus caballus (horse), 1037 nucleotides. The record is from Ensembl. Lineage: Eukaryota; Metazoa; Chordata; Mammalia; Perissodactyla; Equidae.